This is a long non-coding RNA of Rosa chinensis, 895 nucleotides long. RefSeq lists it as uncharacterized. The transcript has 3 exons. The record is from RefSeq and is a predicted model, not a curated record. NCBI's taxonomy places the organism in Eukaryota, Viridiplantae, Streptophyta, Magnoliopsida, Rosales, Rosaceae.
UUUUGUUUGUUUUGCUUCGACUUCCUCUGUGAGAGAGAGCUUUUGCUCGACUUGCACGGAGUGAGAGACAAAGAGGGAGAAGGAGGGAAGGGACAUUUCGCCACCAAUCAGAAAAAGAAGAAGAUUUGUUGAAGGAAAGUCUAGAGAGGAGGAAGGGAUCGAUGUCUUGGUCAAUUGGGUUUUCAGGAUAGUUAAAUUAGAAAUCCAUUGGUUUUAUAAUUACAAAACUGACUUGAUUCCUAGGCAUCAUCCAAAACCCGUUCUCUUGAUUUGAACUUAACCCUUCUGUCGAUUUUAGUCUGUUCCCAAUUUCAGAAUUUCCGUUUCACCUUCAAAGUUUCAAUCUUCAAAGGAUGAGUAUUUCAAAGCUUAUUACGCUGCCUUUAAUAAAAAUACAAGAAGAAGAAGCAGCAAAGAGUUGUCAGGUUAGCAUGAAGUCAUGACUCAAAACUUCGAAGAUGAAGGACAAGAUAAUGUUGGCUGGGAAGAGGCUCCAGUUGCAGGCGAACUCGACCAAGGUUUAAGAGCAUAGCGGUCAGCAGGGAGCCAUGUGUUCCCAAAUUCUACUAUCAGCUCUGUUUCCCACUUGUAAAACUUCACGUGCCUUAAGGAUGCAUGCUUCUCCAAGGGAAGGAAGGUUGCGGCCCUAACUCUACAUCCCAAUUGGAAAAUAAAAGGCUUUGUAUACCUGAGCAAUAAGAGAUGUUGGAUUUCGAAGUAGCCUCCAACCUUGCUUGGCUAACAUCGCCAAAUUGAACAAAUGUAGAUCUUUAAAUCCCGUACCACCUUCAUUCUUUGGGAUACACAAUCUCUCCCAGGAUUGCCAAUGUAUUUUCUUUUUGGUGUAAGUAUCACCGCACCAAAAUUGAGCACGUACAAAGCUGAUGAAGAUCAG